Molecule: ribosomal RNA, 411 nt
Filed under: uncultured bacterium
Lineage: Bacteria
Description: bacterial SSU rRNA
Rfam family: Bacterial small subunit ribosomal RNA
Source: RNAcentral
GAUGAACGCUGGCGGCGUGCUUAACACAUGCAAGUCGAGCGAUGAAGUUUCCUUCGGGAAAUGGAUUAGCGGCGGACGGGUGAGUAACACGUGGGUAACCUGCCUCAUAGAGUGGAAUAGCCUUCCGAAAGGAAGAUUAAUACCGCAUAAUGUUGAAAGAUGGCAUCAUCAUUCAACCAAAGGAGCAAUCCGCUAUGAGAUGGACCCGCGGCGCAUUAGCUAGUUGGUGGGGUAACGGCCUACCAAGGCGACGAUGCGUAGCCGACCUGAGAGGGUGAUCGGCCACAUUGGGACUGAGACACGGCCCAGACUCCUACGGGAGGCAGCAGUGGGGAAUAUUGCACAAUGGGGGAAACCCUGAUGCAGCAACGCCGCGUGAGUGAUGAAGGUUUUCGGAUCGUAAAGCUCUGU